RNAcentral lists this ribosomal RNA (17 nucleotides) under Pleosporales sp. MZC47m2. RNAcentral describes it as "partial 28S ribosomal RNA". The record is from RNAcentral. Lineage: Eukaryota; Fungi; Ascomycota; Dothideomycetes; Pleosporales.
UUGACCUCGGAUCCCAG